RNAcentral lists this ribosomal RNA (254 nucleotides) under uncultured bacterium. RNAcentral's name for it is "partial 16S ribosomal RNA". It matches the Rfam family "Bacterial small subunit ribosomal RNA", at positions 524 to 776 of the family's 1533-position model. The record is from RNAcentral.
GACGUAGGGCGCAAGCGUUGUCCGGAUUUAUUGGGCGUAAAGAGCUCGUAGGCGGCUUGUCGCGUCGACUGUGAAAACCCGUGGCUCAACCAUGUGGUCUGCAGUCGAUACGGGCAGGCUAGAAUUCGGUAGGGGAGACUGGAAUUCCUGGUGUAGCGGUGAAAUGCGCAGAUAUCAGGAAGAACACCAAUGGCGAAGGCAGCUCUCUGGGACGGUACUGACGCUGAGACGCGAAAGCGUGGGGAGCGAACAGG